RNAcentral lists this ribosomal RNA (1437 nucleotides) under Dyscophus insularis (Antsouhy tomato frog). Its description in RNAcentral is "partial 16S ribosomal RNA". It matches the Rfam family "Bacterial large subunit ribosomal RNA", at positions 384 to 2597 of the family's 2925-position model. Lineage: Eukaryota; Metazoa; Chordata; Amphibia; Anura; Microhylidae. The record is from RNAcentral.
GCCUAAAACCUAGCCCCACACAACCUGAAUAAUAGAGAUAUACCACCAAAACCCAAUAAAACAUUCUACACUAUUAGUAAAGGCGAUUGAAAAAUGUCUUGGAGCUUUAGAGAUAGUACCGCAAGGGAAAAGUGAAAUAGAAGUGAAAUAAACCUUAAGCAAAAUAUAGCAGAGAUUUAACCUCGUACCUUUUGCAUCAUGGUUUAGCCAGUCCACCCAAGCAAAAAGAAAUUUUAGUUUGACCCCCCGAAACUAGACGAGCUACUUCAGAACAGCCUUCAAGAGCAAACCCGUCUCUGUUGCAAAAGAGUGGGAAGAUUUUCAAGUAGCGGUGAUAUACCUAUCGAGCCUAGAGAUAGCUGGUUAUUCAGGAAAAGGAUAUGAGUCCAACCUUAAGUCUCUUACUAACCUUUAAUAUAUACAUAGACUUAAGAGCCAUUCAAAUAAGGUACAGCUUAUUUGAAAUAGGAUACAACCUCAACCAUAGGGUAAUGUUUACUUUAACUGUAACAAAGUGGGCCUAAGAGCAGCCACCUUUUAAAAAGCGUUAAAGCUUCACUACAACUUCUACUUAAUACCUAUAAUUAACCAAAACCCCUAACUACCACUGAAUGACUUCAUAAAUAUAUGAAAGACCUCAUGCUAAAACUAGUAACAAGAAGUUAACCCUUCUCCUAAUUGCAAGUGUAAGCCGACAUGGAUCCCCCAUCGACACUUACCGUUUAUGAACCUACUGUAGCAACACAUCAAGAAAAUCCUACACCAUACGCAUAAUAAACACACGAACGUUAACCUUACACCAGAGCAAUUCAAGAAAGAUUAAAAGAAGAGGAAGGAACUCGGCAAAUAACUAACCCCGCCUGUUUACCAAAAACAUCGCCUCCUGACAAACAAUAGGAGGUCCCGCCUGCCCAGUGACUWUACGUUCAACGGCCGCGGUACCCUAACCGCGCGAAGGUAGCGCAAUCACUUGUCCUUUAAAUGUGGACUAGUAUGAACGGCAUAACGAGGGUUAUGCUGUCUCCCUCUUCCAAUCAGUGAAACUGAUCCCCCCGUGAAGAAGCGGGGAUAAAAUUAUAAGACGAGAAGACCCCAUGGAGCUUUAAACCCAAAGUCAACUGCUGCCACAUGUAUCACCCAAGCUUUAGCAGACCCUGUCACUUUGGUUUUCGGUUGGGGUGACCGCGGAGUAAAAUAAAACCUCCACGAUGAACGGAACUAAAUCCUAAUCCAAGAGCUACAACUCAAAGAAUCAAAACUUUGACAUAAAUUGAUCCAAAUUAACUUGAUCAACGAACCAAGUUACCCUGGGGAUAACAGCGCAAUCCAUUUUUAGAGCUCCUAUCGACAAAUGGGUUUACGACCUCGAUGUUGGAUCAGGGUAUCCCAGUGGUGCAGCCGCUACUAAAGGUUCGUUUGUUCAACGAUUAAAACCCU